UGUUGAAAGAUUUUUUAUUACAGGUUCACAUACACCCUUUAAACCAUCAUUUAUUUUUUCUGUGUUUUACAGAGAGAAAAGUGAGGUGUAGAGCAGAGCUCCCUAGUGAAUACUUGGCAGAGUUCUGAAGGUGAUUUCUGAAAAGGUGAGGCAACACACUGCUUGUGCCACAUCAAAUUUGUGCAUCAGGAGAUUUAAGAGAUGUGUAAGAAACAAACCUGUUGCUAUCAAUUUGUAGUUAAGAAAAAUAGGAUGUUAACAAUACAAAUAAUACCCAACAAGGAUACUUUUACUAUUAACAGGCACAUGGAUGGUCACCUAGGAGAUGAAUCCUUGCUAGUUUCAUUUAAAAUCAAAAGCAUCGUUAGUUUGUAUUGUUUUGACAUGUCCCACCUUAUUUACAAGUAGGAAAAUCACGGCAGAUUGUCUUUAACAUUUUUGCUUUGUUCUUCACACCUUUCUGAUUUGCAAGAUCCUUCACUGCCUUAAGCACAACAAAGAGAACGACGACAAUCGAUACCAACAAGGUCACUUGAUGCUUUUCAUGUACAAGGCAUUCUUUUUAAAAAGAUGUAGUGAAAGCAUCCAAGAAAAAUAAUCUUAAGGAUUUGAAGUCUUCAGAGGCAUUCCCUGUACCAUGUAGAUUUGAUCUCAUUCCCUUCUCAGGAAAUAAACACAGUCCUCUUGUUAUAAAAAACUUCGGGUGAGAUUUUUAUCUACAGGGGCAUUAAAACACCUCAGUAGAAGAAUGAGUUUGACUUAGUCUUUCCAUAAAAGCCUCUGCUGUUCUAUCACCGACUCCACGGAAUUCUGGCCACAGUCUUUCUCUUUUCUGGGUGACAGUACCGCUGUGCAGGAUUAAUUUGAGUUGGAGUCCAGCAAAAGAUAAAAUUUUGAGGUGGAUUUGGCAGUGUUAGGUUUGUAGUUAGACUUGAUCAUUCUAAAGAUUUUAUGUAACUUAAAUGAGUCUGUGAUUAUAAAACAUUACUCUUUUUUUGGUGUGCUUUAAUUAUUAAGCCCCCCCAAAAAAACCCAGAAGACCACCCCACAAUCAACAUUCUCUGUCUCCCACUGGUGCCUGAGGCUAACCAAUUGUGAUUUAUCUCUUUUUUUCUUGGGAGAUAUGAUAACCAUCAAAAACAGUAACUAGAAGUUUCUUCACAUCUCAGAAAAACAUUCAAGUCUCUGUCCCGUGGAAUUAUAUAAUUAAAAAUAUUUUGCAUUGCUGCUCAUAAGCUAUGACAAAUGUUUAUGUACAUGUACAUAACCAACGUGGAUUGUUCACUAUUUCUUCUUGUUUCUGUGCAAAAUUAAGGUUGAACUGUAACAUCAUGAGGGAGUACUACUGCACUAGGUCUUGACCCGUUCCCUAAAAUCAGAUUUCUCUAAAUAAAAGAACCAUCUGUAAGAGACUUACAUCUGACGAGGACUUCAAGUGUCUUUCUAAAUAAUUGUAUUAAAAUAGACUCCUUGAACUCACUGUUCCUCUAUUUUCCUGUCCAUCACUCUUAUUCCUGCUUAUUGAAAAGGGCUUUGAAAGAUGCAACAUUAACCACUGAGGUUCUGCUGAGUUUGUAUUUCAUUCAGAGAAAAAGUAUGAAAAAGGACCUGCAGAAUCAGCGAAGGCAUUUCAUCUCAUGCCCUUUUCCAAACCAGACCCGUGUGUCAUUUUGAGAUUCCAGCCUCAGUGUUGUAACUUUGAAAUAAACAUUCCUUUCCUGUAAGAAAGAAAAGAAAACUCAGUUUGUUAAACAGAAAAAAUACAGUAAGGUUCAACAUGAGGCUUUGUGCACCCUUUUCCCUUUCUGUCCCAUUUUAGAGCUCCAUCUGAGGUACAAACUAAACAGGAUAAAUUAUUUCCAACUCUAUUACUCAUUAUGACACACCUCUACACUGCCACUCUGGAGUGAGCUGAAACUAAAAGAGUCAGCCUUGCUUAAUUAACUCUUAGAAAUGCUUCAGGGAGUUCUUCUGAAGUCAUGCUGGGGCUCAGGGCCGGGGUUUGCUGUCACCUGUGACCCGUGCAAUUGCGGAAGGCCACCAAAAGGGUGUAUCCUGCCCUCUCCCUUCAUCUCAGCCCUCUCCAGCCUGCGAAUCGCACCGAUCAAAUGGCUGCAGAGCUUCAGUGGAUUCACCUAAUGAAAUAAAUAUAUAAUUUUUUUCUUAAUGGCUGAGUUUUCUGCGGGAUCGAGUCACUGAACUGACUCGCCCCGUGGCUGCACCAACACCAGACCUAAUGCAGGAAAAGUGAGGGACGUACAUGCAAGAGAAAGGGAACGGGCUCUUUCAGCAGCAGCCUGUUAUUACCCCUAAUUAGAGGUAAUGUCAACCCGUUCUCUGGAUCAUUUAUGCAUGAACACAAUCGGAGCAGGUGGCAGAAGUCCAAGUUUCUUUCCAGAAAGCCCUGAGAAAUCUGUACACUGUCACAAGGAUACUCACAGUUAUUUUUUUCUGCUAAAAAUGUACUUCUGUAUUUUCUGUAGGAGGCUGAAUAGGUUGUCUUAGUACCCUGUGAUUAAUGUGAUCCGGUGCUGAGCACACCGAGGUGCUGCCCUCGGCAGAGCAGCUCUGCUAAAACAGAUCUCCAGCUUCAUAUGCAAAUCGGCACUUCCAUUUGUUCCUGCUACUGCACCCAACCCGAAUCAAGCCACCACAAAGUGGAAGUCAUGGUAGAUCUGCAUUAAAAACAACAUAUUUGAACUUGCAAAAGGCAAAUACAGGUUUGCCAGCAGUCCCAGAGAGGUUAAGGAAAACAUCUUUGCAAAUCUCAUCUGAAGCAGAACUUAACAUUUAGUUGAUGGAAUUUCUGCAGGGGAAAGAUUUUUAUCUACCAUGUCUAGAAAAAUUGUAUUUCAGCUUCCUUCAUAAAACAGAGAAAUACUUAAAUAUCUAAUAUUCCAUCCUAACCCAAGGUAAAGAAAGUAUAGAAUGGUAGAUCUUACAGGAUAAACAGUAUUUUCAAAAGUGUAUUAAGAUUAGUCUGGCCCAUUCUGUGCAAUGGGAAUUAACUGUUUUAGAGCUCAGUGGGGUGAAAUGAUCCCACGUCUUCAUAGAGCCUUCUCCAGCAGAGAAGUUCAGCUCUGGUUUCAGCAUGAGCCGUGCAGUACAACAUUAAUUAAACGACAGCUCCCAGUUCCAAGCUAACGAGGUCAGGAUCCUGCACCUUGGCAUGAUUAGAUGUUAAAUAAUUUAAGCUACAUUAACAUCCAGCAAAAAAAAGUUUUAGUGUUUUUUUCAGAGUUCAGCGCAGCCUAUUGUAUCACAAUGUUCUGUGAUAUAAUGUCAAAAUGAUGUGUUUUCCUUCUUUGACUGUGAAGAAGGCCAGUCUUUUGUUAGCCCUGGGAUGUCCCAUCCAAGCACUGCCUGAUGGAGCCCAGCUCUGGGCACUGUUGGAAAACUGUGCCAUGAUCUGCUCAGGGGGAAAACCGGCCCCAACCCUCAUCAGCCAGCACCAGGCAUAGGAAUUUAAUAUUGCUUCUGAAUGUUUUUAUCCUGUCUAAUGUAGCUGUGGAUAUGGAUAUUCUCAUCAUCCACAACCUACACAUUCCACCUCUCCUUUUCCUUCUCCAGUUCUUUUAAGUUUAGGAUAGUUUUUUUUGUUAUUGACACACAGAUUUUCAUGGUAUAAUGAACUGUAGUUGAAUAGGUAUCAUUUCUGUCUUAAAACAAGCUUUAAAAAGUGUUUUCUAUUUUUGGAGAUCUAUAGAUAGAAACUGUGUUGUUUCUGAAACAUUUACUUCCACACCUCCAUAAUGUGCUCUGAUGUUUCCAGGUGUACAUGAUGGAUACAGCCUUGGUGGGUUUGCUUGAUACACCAAGAGUCUCAGAUUGUCCAUGUCCAAAAAAAAUACUUAGAAAAAUGAGUUGAUUUUCUUUUAUGUCUCUGUUCUGUCUCUUUUGGUAGACUUUUGCAGCAUGGAUGGAUGAUGUGUUUUUUGUCUGAUGAUUCUCUAGUAACAUCCAUUUAUCUCGUAUCCUGACCUCAAUUCUACAGAUGUACACAUGUAUUUAAUUUUAAGAUUGAGUAAUCUUGGCUGAAAGGUCGAGAUAUGUAUAUAUCUCCUCAGGAUUAUGGAUUAAUAAUGCACUUGCUCCAACAGACAUCUGGAAUCCACACUUCAAUAUAUAGCCUAUAAAACACUUCCAUACCAUAAUAAAGUUCAAUCAUCUGCAAACAGGGAGAUGUUAGAGAAAGAUUACAUGAUUUUUCAAGAUUCUGCAAACAGUCCUUGGCAGAAUCAGAAGGAGAAGCUCACUGCCUUAAAUCCUGUUAGAACUCUGUCCUCUCCUGCCUUUAUCCAUGGAUCAUUAAAAUAAGAAUUGUUCUAAAGAGAUCAAUGGGAAGGCCUGCAAAGUUGAAUUUUAAUGUGUUUUAAAUUUUGCAUUAACACUUAAUAUAUUUCAUAUAAUACCUAGGAUGCUUAACUGAUUGCAAAAAGCAAACCAGAGGAACACUGCCAAAGCCAUCAGCCCCGACCCUGAUUUGGGUAUCCUUUGAUGUUCUCUUUCUUGGGGGAUGUGGAGGGGAAGUAAAGGAUGUCACUUCAGAGAGGAGCCACGCUGUGGAACCUGGGGGCUGUUCAAAACCUGCACUCUGACCCUGCUAUUGCAAUCAGAUGGUACCAAUACUUGCUCAGCAUCAAUUUAGAGUAGAUGUUAGGGGGUGUUGUAGAAAUAAGACCCGCCAAUAGUUUUUGGAACUGCAGGAUCUCCAUCCUGCAGAGUUUUUGUAUCAGCAGCUACUUUAUAGCAUUUUUUUUUCUUCUUUUUCAUGCGAUUUCUAACUACCUGUUGUACAUGCAUAUUGCAAAAGCAAUUUUGGUUUAUUUAACACCUGUUUAACCCUAUUUACAAUACAUUCUGGAUUUUAUGACCGGUUUUCAUAGGGCACGUGGGUGCAGUGCC
Long non-coding RNA from Taeniopygia guttata (zebra finch), 4905 nucleotides. The record is from Ensembl. Lineage: Eukaryota; Metazoa; Chordata; Aves; Passeriformes; Estrildidae.